UCAGACUCUAUGUUGAGUGGACAGAGCAGAAGGAGGUAAACUAGGCUGAGGCAGGACUGGCUUCAGAUAAUGGGUAAUCGUGUGGAGAAAGAAGAGAACCAAGCAGAGUCUCUAGUCUCCGGCUGUCUGUCUAUGAAGAGUGAUCGGUCCAAACGUCGUCCUCUGAACUUCAGUAAUGAACCUGGACCCUCAGACACAAAAGUUCAGUACAGACAGAGAGCAGAGUCUCCAGUAUCCAGCUGUCUGUCUAUGAAGAGUGAUCGGUCCAAAGGUCAACCUCCAUUCUUCAGUAAUGAACCUGGACCCUCAGA
Anoplopoma fimbria (sablefish) is the source of this 311-nucleotide long non-coding RNA. RefSeq lists it as uncharacterized. Lineage: Eukaryota; Metazoa; Chordata; Actinopteri; Perciformes; Anoplopomatidae. The record is from RefSeq and is a predicted model, not a curated record. The transcript is spliced from 3 exons.